RNAcentral lists this ribosomal RNA (518 nucleotides) under Acroscyphus sphaerophoroides. Its description in RNAcentral is "eukaryotic LSU rRNA". The stretch from base 157 to 310 matches the Rfam family "5.8S ribosomal RNA". Lineage: Eukaryota; Fungi; Ascomycota; Lecanoromycetes; Caliciales; Caliciaceae. The record is from RNAcentral.
GGGGCCGAUCCGGCCCCACUCUUCACCCGUGCAUUCCAGUCCAUGUUGCUUUGGCGGGUCCCUGGGCGUCCAGCGCGGGCUCGGGCCGCGAGUGCCCGCCAAAGGCCCCCUUCCACCCUGAUAUCCGUCGCGUCCGAGUCACAUUCUAAUAGUUAAAACUUUCAACAACGGAUCUCUUGGUUCUGGCAUCGAUGAAGAACGCAGCGAAAUGCGAUAAGUAAUGUGAAUUGCAGAAUUCAGUGAAUCAUCGAAUCUUUGAACGCACAUUGCGCCCUCCGGCAUUCCGGAGGGCAUGCCUGUUCGAGCGUCAUUUAAACCCUCAAGCUCUGCUUGGUCUUGGGAUCCGCCCGCCGUGGCGCGCCCGAAAUGCAGUGGGGGUCCAGCGAGACUUCAAGCGUAGCCAGAUUCUCAAUCCCGCUUUUGAAGCGCUCGCGGGGGCUUGCCAACCAAAGCGGAGUCAUUACGACUCCCACGAUUGACCUCGGAUCAGGUAGGGAUACCCGCUGAACUUAAGCAUA